CCGUGUAGAAAAGGAUGUCGCGCCGGUUAUUUUGCAAAAGAAAGCUCGGAGAAUUCCAGAACUAACAGGCAGUCCUCCCGCUCUCUUCUUCCUUGCCGCACGCCGCCGCCGCUCCCCUCUGCCGUAUAGGUCCGAAGGCGAGCUGCCCUCGACACUCCCCCUCCGCCGUCUAGCUCCACCGGGCUUCUCCCGUUCCGCCGUCCAGCUCCCCCGGGCUGCUCCCCCUCCGCCGUCCAAAGAUUUGGUUUUUCUUGGAAUGGGGAUGAGGGAGGCGAGAGCUGGUGCUGCAGCGCGAGAUAUGGUGCUUCCCAGCGCGCCGACUCCCUCCGCCCCGCAACUGCUGCGGCCGAGGCUGAUGACAUGCUGUUGUGGUGCUGAUGGCAACCUCUAAACAAUGGUCAUGCUCCCUCCUUGCAGCAUAGAUGCUGGACGGAGGGACCGAGGGAGUAGCUUCAUAUUGGUGCUAUAAUUGCUAAAUAUUGCAGGGAAACCGUCCUUGAUCUGUUGCAAUCCGAAGCUGAAAAUUCAGCAUGACAUGCAUGUCAAAGACAAUAAUUUGUAAAGUGUGGCCUAUUCUGUACUCAAGGGUGACAGUUUGUAUGGUUAUUUUACUCAACUAUUUUACUGCAGAAUUAGAGCAACAUAUAAUGUUGUUCCACAGAUGUUUAUACUCAGUAGGUACUGAUAUUUCCAUCACCAUCCAAACAGAACAUCAAGUUAUACUCAGUAACCUUCAGAACACCUGAGCAAUACAAUACAUUGAAAUUCUUUCAAUUAACUGUUAACUGAAACUCAACUGUGAACUAAUAACUGAAACUCAGCAAGCAAAUUCAACUUUGAACUGUUGACUGAAAUUUUUUCACAACAAAAUAGUGUUUGGUUACAUUAGAACUAUUAACUGAAAUAAUUUCAGAAUUUGUUUGACUUCAAGUCUUCAGAAUUUGAUUGAAAUAAGUACAGUACAGUACAGUACUCCAGGUGAGUAAGUGACCUGAGCUGAUUGUUAUCUUGCUAACUGUGGUUUCUGAACUGAAUAGAUGACCGAAUCUUGUUUCUGAACUGAAUAGAUGACCUGCCUGAGCUGAUUGUUAUCUUGCUAAGGUCUGAAUCUUGUUGCUUCUGAGUAUGAACUGCAGGUGCUCUGAAGAUUAUGAACUGCACUGUAUUGUUGGUUUCAGUUCAGGAGCAGAAGAUUAUGAACUGCAGGUGCUGCUGUCUAACUCCUGUCUUGGUGCUAAUCUCUGAAUCUUAUUGCUGCUGAGUAUGAGGAACACAAUUCAUGUAUUCUCCUCGUGAUCUCUAGGUGUUCUUCUUGAGCAAUCUGUCUACGGUAAGUUGUUCGGCAGCAGAGAAGUACCAAAACAAUCAAUCAAGUUUUUAUUUCAGCCGGACCAUCGAUCCGGCGCGCAGGCCUCGGCGACGACCUCCUUCCUCGCUGGCAGAUGGCGAGGGAGCUGCGGAGGCGGGGGAGACUGACGGCGCUAGCAAACUGGCCGGCCGGCCGCCCGCCAGGUACUCCGCGUCCGCGAGCUCCUCUGCGUCCGCGAUGCAGGCGAUCGCGAGCUCCUGCGCGCCCGCGAGAUUGGACUGCAUGCGCGAGGCCCGCGGCGCGAGAUUGGAUCGCAGCAGGACGACGACGGAGGGCACCGCGACGACAACGGAGGGUAGCACGACGGGAAGAUUUGAAUUUUGAUUUCAGAUUGAAUUUCAAUUUGAAGCCCAAAUUUCAAAUGUUCCGGAUGUUUAGGUUUUUUUCUUUAGCAAAAUUAAAUUGAACUGCAGGGGAGGAAGGAUGCGACAUCCUUUUACGAACAGAGGGAGUAGAAGAGAAAACCGAAACACCUCUCUAACGCUCGUCCGCGGCGCGCAGACGAAAAGCCGACCACGCGCGCUCUCCUUUCCUUUUUUCUUUCUGCGCCGUUUCCUUUUCUGUCUCAGCCUUCCGUUGCCAAUUAGCUCCAAAAUAUCUCCCUCCCCAGGCAGUCUCUUCCCUCUGUUAUGAAAUAUUAGUGUGGAUGUCCAUAACCCAUAUACCAUCAAAGACAUAACCUUCUAAUUCAAUGGAGUAACUCUCAUAGUAUCAAUUCUUGUAACUCCAUCUCACAUGUAUGACUAUGUAUAUGAGAGCUUAUGUAUUGGAAUGAGAUAUAAGAAAUUCCAAUUUCAUCUCU
Brachypodium distachyon (stiff brome) is the source of this 2171-nucleotide long non-coding RNA. RefSeq lists it as uncharacterized. The record is from RefSeq and is a predicted model, not a curated record. The transcript has 3 exons. NCBI's taxonomy places the organism in Eukaryota, Viridiplantae, Streptophyta, Magnoliopsida, Poales, Poaceae.